CGCGAUUCGCCCUUCGGGGUGCAGCAGGCGCGAAAACUUUACAAUGCUGGCAACAGCGAUAAGGGGACCUCGAGUGCCAGGAUACAAUCCUGGCUGUCGUAAUGCCUAAAAAGCAUUGCAUAGCAAGGGCCGGGCAAGACCGGUGCCAGCCGCCGCGGUAACACCGGCGGCUCGAGUGGUAACCGCUAUUAUUGGGUCUAAAGGGUCUGUAGCCGGCUGACUAAGUCUCUUGGGAAAUCUGGCAGCUCAACUGUCAGGCUUUCAGGAGAUACUGAUCGGCUCGAGACCGGGAGAGGUGAGAGGUACCUCAGGGGUAGGGGUGAAAUCUUGUAAUCCUUGAGGGACCACCAGUGGCGAAGGCGUCUCACCAGAACGGAUCUGACGGCAAGGGACGAAAGCUAGGGGCACGAACCGGAUUAGAUACCCGGGUAGUCCUAGCCGUAAACGAUACUCGCUAGGUGUCGGCCACGGUGCGACCGUGGUCGGUGCCGUAGGGAAGCCGUGAAGCGAGCCACCUGGGAAGUACGGCCGCAAGGCUGAAACUUAAAGGAAUUGGCGGGGGAGCAC
This 567-nucleotide ribosomal RNA is filed under the name uncultured archaeon. Its description in RNAcentral is "bacterial SSU rRNA". It matches the Rfam family "Archaeal small subunit ribosomal RNA", at positions 312 to 879 of the family's 1478-position model. The record is from RNAcentral.